Long non-coding RNA from Magallana angulata, 299 nucleotides. RefSeq lists it as uncharacterized. The record is from RefSeq and is a predicted model, not a curated record. Lineage: Eukaryota; Metazoa; Mollusca; Bivalvia; Ostreida; Ostreidae. The transcript is spliced from 3 exons.
AGCAUAAUCGGAACCUUUCUGGUUUUUAUAUUCACGAAAGAAUGAAAAACCCGAGAAAGUCAAAACUUCGUAUAUCUCGGGAUUUUAACGAGACCAGUCUCAUACUCGUGAAAAUCGAGAGAGGAGUUUAAAUGGAAAAACAUGAAACAGUCUGAACAGCAAUCCUCGAUUUUGUCAACAAUCUAAAACGUGCUAAGGAGUAGUCAUUCGUCGAUUUACCUGCGGCUUCCAGAUGAUCUGAAGAUCAGGAAUAUAGAAAAUAUUGUCAAUUUGAUAUUGCUGAUGAUCCAGUCAAGUCU